GUGUCAGCAGCCGCGGUAAUACGUAGGUGGCAAGCGUUGUCCGGAAUUAUUGGGCAUAAAGGGCUCGCAGGCGGUUCCUUAAGUCUGAUGUGAAAGCCCCCGGCUCAACCGGGGAGGGUCAUUGGAAACUGGGGAACUUGAGUGCAGAAGAGGAGAGUGGAAUUCCACGUGUAGCGGUGAAAUGCGUAGAGAUGUGGAGGAACACCAGUGGCGAAGGCGACUCUCUGGUCUGUAACUGACGCUGAGGAGCGAAAGCGUGGGGAGCGAACAGGAUUAGAAACCCGUGUAGUCC
RNAcentral lists this ribosomal RNA (292 nucleotides) under uncultured prokaryote. Its description in RNAcentral is "partial 16S ribosomal RNA". It matches the Rfam family "Bacterial small subunit ribosomal RNA", at positions 505 to 796 of the family's 1533-position model. The record is from RNAcentral.